GCCGGAGAGCCGCGCCCGCGCUGAGCGAGGCCGGGCCGAUGGGCGCUGCUGGCCGGGGCGCGGACCGGCGGGCGGCGUUACUCCUUCACCAUGGACCACCCCAGCCCAAACCCCUCCGGCCUCAUCAGUUCUUCACAAACUUAUUGAUUCGUUGUCUAAAAGGCUGUGGCGUUUUUCUCUCACCCCAGCUGUGUGGACAGAGCCACACAUCCUCUGAACAACAACGGCUCUUGCGUGCAUGUUCCAGUGUUUCUUCUGUCAGAGAGCCCAGCAGAGCUGCAGCUCCUCCCGUGCCAGCCCUGAGCUGAGCCAGGAGUGCCCAGCAGAGAUGGUGAAGAUGACAAGGUCCAAAACUUUCCAAGCGUAUCUGCCAAACUGCCACCGAACGUACAGUUGUGUCCACUGCAGGGCCCACCUGGCCAAUCACGAUGAGCUGAUCUCCAAGGCAAGUAUCUGGUCAAGAACUUGGUAGGCUGCCCUCAGCCAUGGUCACUGAGCCUAAGUGUAGACAAAUACUGAACCACCCCAUGGCCUCCUGGGUUUGCUGGGCCCAGAAUGUCUGGAGCCCUGUGGACGGCACUGAGGGAAAUUGUGUGUGUGAGUGAGGGCAGCUACAUCGUGGUCUUGGCCGUGGUCUUUGCCAAGUGGUGGGUUUUGGGGGUCAGGCCACGGGCCUCUGAAGAUCCCACAGUAAGAUGAGUCAGUGACUUGUCAGAGCAGUUAAAUUCAUGUAAAGCAGAGGACAUGGACAGUACAAAGUAAGCCUGGAAAAUCUGUG
Long non-coding RNA from Physeter macrocephalus (sperm whale), 778 nucleotides. RefSeq lists it as uncharacterized. Lineage: Eukaryota; Metazoa; Chordata; Mammalia; Artiodactyla; Physeteridae. The record is from RefSeq and is a predicted model, not a curated record. The transcript has 3 exons.